AUUUCAAUUGCUAGGUCAUCUGGUAGAAGUAAGUUGAGUUCUGUAAGAAAUUGCCAGACUGUUUUCUAAAGUGACUGUACCAUGUUUCAGUACCACUAGCAAG
This 103-nucleotide microRNA precursor is filed under the name Marmota monax (woodchuck). The record is from RNAcentral. Lineage: Eukaryota; Metazoa; Chordata; Mammalia; Rodentia; Sciuridae.